This 1145-nucleotide long non-coding RNA is filed under the name Equus asinus (donkey). RNAcentral's name for it is "lncRNA (ENSEASG00005032883.1)". Lineage: Eukaryota; Metazoa; Chordata; Mammalia; Perissodactyla; Equidae. The record is from RNAcentral.
ACUGUGGUAAAGAAGCAACUACUGGGUGUGCUUCAAUAUGUGGUGUUGAAGUGGGUGCAAACGCUCUUGUUAACAGCCUGAGGUGGAAGGUAUCAGAGCAGCAGUGGCAGAGCUUUGAAGAUACAUGGCUGGGACCUGGAUGUACCUUAACAGAAGUCUGUCUGUGUUAUGGACCGAUAAUGGGGAAACGAAGUACUCUAUGGCAAACCAUAUUGAGGCCAACAAGGAAGGGUGAGACCACCUGGAGUUGCAGGUUGAGAGGCAAAAGCUUUCUUACCUCUGCUCUGGGAAGUAGUCCCACACCUCCUGGAAGCUAUGGGAAAAUGAUUUCUGCUAUCAAAUAUAGUUGAGUUUGAAACUUCAGUAGUUCUCUGGUCUGUCUGGAUUUUGGCACAGCGGCUGGACAAGGCUCUUUAACUGGAGUUCUUCAACUUCCUUUGUGGCUCUCAGGCAGGCAUCAAUAUAAAGAGCUGCAUAUUAUUCCAGAGAGACUUGAUGCUGGGACCUACAGCUACUGCUUUAUAAUGGUGAGAUCUUGGGCAAGUAACCUACAUCCUAGGACCUGGUUUCCACAUUUGCAAAAUGAAAGCAUUCUACUAGAUGAAAACUUCCCUCCUAACUAACAUUCUGUCACAAUAGCGGUAGAGCUGGGACUAAAACUCAGAUUUUUCUCUUCCUCUUAUGUUGCACAACUGUUGCGUGGAAAGGGAUUUUAAAAAUAGAGUUCAAACCUGUUUGCCAUUCAGGAAAUCCUUUACAACAUUCUUGACAGUGAUCCUUCCAGACUCUGCUUAAAUACUUUGCCGGAGAACUUUGAGCUUUGUAAAGCAGUCCAUUCCUUUAUAUAAGAACCCAAACUGAGAGCAUGUGCUUGCUUACUUUGAACAGAAAUCAGCUUCCAUGUAAUUUCUUUCCACUGGCUAUGGUUCUGCCCUUUGCAACGGCACAGAGAUAGUCCAAUUCGUCUUUCACUUGACCGCACUUCAGAUUAGUUUUCUCGAGGAAAAUACUCUCAUUUCCUUGAAAUGACCUUGAAACAUCUGUUCUAGAUUUCCUGACUAUACUGCAUGUGUUCUUUGUAUGUUGCUGUUGAUGUUCCUCUAAAACUGUGGCACCCAGGAGAGAACACAAUGUGUGGUCCUACC